AYAAAGAAUAAUUAGUGGCAGACGGGUGAGUAAUGCAUAGGAAUCUACCUAGUAGUAUGGGAUAGCCACUAGAAAUGGUGGGUAAUACUGUAUAAUCCCUGCGGGGGAAAGAUUUAUCGCUAUUAGAUGAGCCUAUGUUAGAUUAGCUAGUUGGUAGGGUAAAGGCCUACCAAGGCGAUGAUCUAUAGCUGGUCUGAGAGGAUGAUCAGCCACACUGGAACUGAGAUACGGUCCAGACUCCUACGGGAGGCAGCAGUGGGGAAUAUUGGACAAUGGGCGCAAGCCUGAUCCAGCUAUGCCGCGUGAGUGAGGAAGGCCUUAGGGUUGUAAAACUCUUUCAGUAGGGAAGAUAAUGACGGUACCUACAGAAGAAGUCCCGGCAAACUCCGUGCCAGCAGCCGCGGUAAUACGGAGGGGGCAAGCGUUGUUCGGAAUUAUUGGGCGUAAAGGGCAUGUAGGCGGUUCGGUAAGUUAAAGGUGAAAUGCCAGGGCUUAAC
RNAcentral lists this ribosomal RNA (497 nucleotides) under Anaplasma phagocytophilum. Its description in RNAcentral is "bacterial SSU rRNA". It matches the Rfam family "Bacterial small subunit ribosomal RNA", at positions 81 to 613 of the family's 1533-position model. The record is from RNAcentral. Lineage: Bacteria; Pseudomonadati; Pseudomonadota; Alphaproteobacteria; Rickettsiales; Anaplasmataceae.